RNAcentral lists this ribosomal RNA (452 nucleotides) under uncultured organism. RNAcentral describes it as "partial 16S ribosomal RNA". It matches the Rfam family "Bacterial small subunit ribosomal RNA", at positions 333 to 801 of the family's 1533-position model. The record is from RNAcentral.
ACACUCCUACGGGAGGCAGCAGUGGGGAAUCUUGCGCAAUGGGCGAAAGCCUGACGCAGCCAUGCCGCGUGAAUGAUGAAGGUCUUAGGAUUGUAAAAUUCUUUCACCGGGGACGAUAAUGACGGUACCCGGAGAAGAAGCCCCGGCUAACUUCGUGCCAGCAGCCGCGGUAAUACGAAGGGGGCUAGCGUUGCUCGGAAUUACUGGGCGUAAAGGGAGCGUAGGCGGACAUUUAAGUCGGGGGUGAAAUCCCGGGGCUCAACCUCGGAAUUGCCUUUGAUACUGGGUGUCUUGAGUAUGAGAGAGGUGUGUGGAACUCCGAGUGUAGAGGUGAAAUUCGUAGAUAUUCGGAAGAACACCAGUGGCGAAGGCGACACACUGGCUCAUUACUGACGCUGAGGCUCGAAAGCGUGGGGAGCAAACAGGAUUAGAAACCCGUGUAGUCCCAUGAU